Molecule: ribosomal RNA, 452 nt
Filed under: uncultured bacterium
Lineage: Bacteria
Description: partial 16S ribosomal RNA
Rfam family: Bacterial small subunit ribosomal RNA
Source: RNAcentral
UAGGGAAUCUUCCACAAUGGACGCAAGUCUGAUGGAGCAACGCCGCGCGAGUGAAGAAGGCUUUCGGGUCGUAAAACUCUGUUAUUGAAGAAGAACGUGUGUGACAGUAACUGGUCAUGCAGUGACGGUAUUCAAUCAGAAAGUCACGGCUAACUACGUGCCAGCAGCCGCGGUAAUACGUAGGUGGCAAGCGUUGUCCGGAUUUAUUGGGCGUAAAGCGAGUGCAGGCGGUCUUUUAAGUCUGAUGUGAAAGCCUUCGGCUUAACCGAAGAAGGGCAUCGGAAACUGGGAGACUUGAGUGCAGAAGAGGAGAGUGGAACUCCAUGUGUAGCGGUGAAAUGCGUAGAUAUAUGGAAGAACACCAGUGGCGAAGGCGGCUCUCUGGUCUGUAACUGACGCUGAGGCUCGAAAGCGUGGGUAGCAAACAGGAUUAGAUACCCUGGUAGUCCACG